Molecule: ribosomal RNA, 497 nt
Filed under: uncultured bacterium
Lineage: Bacteria
Description: partial 16S ribosomal RNA
Rfam family: Bacterial small subunit ribosomal RNA
Source: RNAcentral
GAUGAACGCUGGCGGCGUGCCUAAUACAUGCAAGUCGAGCGAACGGACGCGAAGCUUGCUUUUCUGAUGUUAGCGGCGGACGGGUGAGUAACACGUGGAUAACCUACCUAUAAGUCUGGGAUAACUUCGGGAAACCGGAGCUAAUACCGGAUAAUAUUUUGAACCGCAUGGUUCAAAAGUGAAAGACGGUCUUGCUGUCACUUAUAGAUGGAUCCGCGCUGCAUUAGCUAGUUGGUAAGGUAACGGCUUACCAAGGCAACGAUGCAUAGCCGACCUGAGAGGGUGAUCGGCCACACUGGAACUGAGACACGGUCCAGACUCCUACGGGAGGCAGCAGUAGGGAAUCUUCCGCAAUGGGCGAAAGCCUGACGGAGCAACGCCGCGUGAGUGAUGAAGGUCUUCGGAUCGUAAAACUCUGUUAUUAGGGAAGAACAUAUGUGGAAGUAACUGUGCACAUCUUGACGGUACCUAAUCAGAAAGCCACGGCUAACUACGUG